Molecule: ribosomal RNA, 274 nt
Filed under: uncultured bacterium
Lineage: Bacteria
Description: partial 16S ribosomal RNA
Rfam family: Bacterial small subunit ribosomal RNA
Source: RNAcentral
AUACGGAGGGGACAAGCGUUAUUCGGAAUCACUGGGCGUAAAGGACGCGUAGGCGGGUUAUUAAGUCGGGUGUGAAAUCCAAUGGCUCAACCAUUGAACUGCAUUCGAAACUGAUAACCUAGAGUAUGGAAGGGGCAGGUGGGAUUAGUGGUGUAGGGGUAAAAUCCGUAGAUAUCACUAGGAAUACCGAAAGCGAAGGCGACCUGCUGGGACAUUACUGACGCUGAGGCGUGAAAGCGUGGGGAGCAAACAGGAUUAGAUACCCUAGUAGUCC